UACGGAGGAUGCAAGCGUUAUCCGGAAUUAUUGGGCGUAAAGCGUCCGCAGGUGGCAAUGUAAGUCUGCUGUGAAAGAGUCUAGCUCAACUAGAUAAAAGCAGUGGAAACUACAUAGCUAGAGUUCGUUCGGGGCAGAGGGAAUUCCUGGUGUAGCGGUGAAAUGCGUAGAGAUCAGGAAGAACACCGGUGGCGAAGGCGCUCUGCUAGGCCGUAACUGACACUGAGGGACGAAAGCUAGGGGAGCGAAUGGG
Molecule: ribosomal RNA, 253 nt
Filed under: uncultured bacterium
Lineage: Bacteria
Description: partial 16S ribosomal RNA
Rfam family: Bacterial small subunit ribosomal RNA
Source: RNAcentral